GUAGGGAGCUCUUUGCAUAUGCAUUUUGACCAAAUCGGUACAAAUUCUAUUUCUAAUAACUUUUAAAUAGCUAAGUCCACAUGUAGUCGCUAUAUCUAGUUGUUUACAAUCAGGGUUUUACAUCCUGUCGAGACAUAUUUUUUGCAUCUAACAAGGUCAUGCUAUUCCAAGACUGUUUAUGACGUCGAACAGAUUGAUUAUUAAAAGUCUGGAAAAAUAUAAUUUACUUAUAGUCGGAAUUAUUUUUUUAAAACAAACUCCACUGGGUAACUACGAUUUCCUCUACCUCAUAUAAAUAAGAAGAUGUGGUAUGACUGCCAAUGAGACAACUCUCCACAAGAGACCAAAAUGACUCAGACAUUAACAACUGUAGGUCACCGUUCGGCCUUCAACAAUGAGCAAACAUCAACCAACCAACUUAUACCUUGUUACGCAAUCAACAUUAUGAUUAUUUGAAUAUCUAUGUAAAUAAAAUUGUUUAAUGCUUUGUCUACAGGGUUAACAACAUACUAGUGUAAUGAAGAGAGGAUGAAGAAUUUCCAACUUCAACCUUCUUUUGUUCAAAAUCCUUAACCGGCAAGCUUUGGAAUAUUAAAAUAAAAUGCUCCGCAUGGCGCAGUUUGUUACAACAGCACAAGUCAAACAUAUUCAAGCUUGAUACAGCCUAGGUUUCUGACACAGAACGAACAUAUAUGGUCUAAGGACUAAGAAAUUUGACAUUGAACUUUCUGCAUUUUGGGUAGUUCUUAGGCAAUUCUUUAAAAUUGGUACAAAAAGUGUUUGCUUUAACAUAAAAGACCCUUUAAAACAUAAGAGCUCAUGGUUGAUUUAACAAGCUUACAUAUAUAUCCGUCUUGGUUCCAAUGAUCAUCCGAUAUUUAUAGUAAACUUCAUAUUGCCCAUGUUGCAGUAUUAACCCAAAAUUGACACCAAGAGUUAAUGUCCCUGAACUUUGACUCAUCAGGACCAUUUCCAAGGUCAUUUUAAUAAUUUAUAUAAUGCCGAUUUUGCUGUUGGUUUUCCUGUUUCAAUGGUCAUUAGUCAUUUUGGACCCUUGAUAGCUUGCAGGUCCUUAUGAGCCCAAGGGAAUCUAGUUGGUUUCAAUCCUAGAACAAGUUUGUUAGUCUUGUAUUAUUUUAAUUUUAGUUUCUUGUGUACAAUUUGGAAAUUAGUAUGGCGUUCAUUAUCACUGAACUAGUAUAUAUUUUUAGGGCCAGUUGAAAGGACGCCUCCGGGGCGGGAAUUUCUCGCUACAUUGAAGACCUGUUGGUGACCUUCUGCUGUUGUUUUUUUCUAUGGUCGGGUUGUUGUCUCUUUGGCACAUUCCCCAUUUCCAUUCUUAAUUUCAUCUUCCAACUUUUCUGCACUAAUUUCUGACAGCUAGUAUCGCAGAAUCAUUUCCAGUACCUUUAUUUGAUUUAUUGUUGAUUGCUGGUGUAUGAUGCCCGUUUCAAACUCUUGGAUAUAGAAUCAUAUUCAAAACAGUGUAGCUGUGGCCAUUGAUUGACGACCUUAAUUUAUCCCAUUGACUGGGGCAGAUUAGGUGAACGUUUGUCUGUAAAGACCGCUGCUCACUAUGUACUUGUUAAAGACACUUAAACUGUGGGGUCACAAAAGGUUCUCA
RNAcentral lists this long non-coding RNA (1624 nucleotides) under Mytilus galloprovincialis (Mediterranean mussel). Lineage: Eukaryota; Metazoa; Mollusca; Bivalvia; Mytilida; Mytilidae. The record is from RNAcentral.